UUCUCAGCAGCACCGCGGGGAUAUGUAGGAUGGCGAAGCGUUGUUCUGCAAUAAUUGUGGGUAAAGAGCGCGCAGGCGGUGUCUUUAUGUGUGAUAUGAAAGAGCACGCGUCACACGUGGAGGGGUCACUGUAAAAUGUGGGAGUCGAGUGCAGAGGAGGAGAAGAGGAGUUUCACGUGUAGCGGUGAAAAGUGUAGAGAUAUGGAGGAGCACCACUGGCGAAGACGGCUUUCUGGUGUGUAUAUGUCGCUGAGGCGCGAAAGAGUGGGGAGCAAACACGAUUAGAUAUCCUGGUAGUGCACGCCGUAAAAGAUGAGUGUUAAGUGUUAUAGGGUGUCUGCCCCUUAUUGUUGCAGAUAUCACACUAUACACUCCGCGCGGGGAGUGUGGUGGCACGAGUGAAAAUCAAAAGAAAAGAGGGGGGGCCGCGCACAAGGUGGAGCACAUGGUUUAAUUUGAAGCAACACGAAGAACCCUUUCACGUCUUGACACAUCGUCGACCAACCAGGAGAAUGGGCCUUCCCUUUGGGGACGGGGGUGACAGGUGGUGCAUGGUUGUCGUCAGCUCGUGUCGUGAGAUGUUGGGUUAAGUCCCGCAACGAGCGCAACCCUUGAUCUUAGUUGCCAGCAUUCAGUUGGGCACUCUAAGGUGACUGCCGGUGACAAACCGGAGGAAGGUGGGGAUGACGUCAAAUCAUCAUGCCCCUUAUGACCUGGGCUACACACGUGCUACAAUGGAUGGUACAAAGGGCUGCGAACCCGCGAGGGGGAGCCAAUCCCAUAAAACCAUUCUCAGUUCGGAUUGUAGGCUGCAACUCGCCUACAUGAAGCUGGAAUCGCUAGUAAUCGUGGAUCAGCAUGCCACGGUGAAUACGUUCCCGGGCCUUGUACACACCGCCCGUCACACCACGAGAGUUUGUAACACCCGAAGUCGGUGGGGUAACCUUAUGGAGCCAGCCGCCUAAGGUGACAGAGAUGAC
RNAcentral lists this ribosomal RNA (980 nucleotides) under bacterium. RNAcentral's name for it is "bacterial SSU rRNA". It matches the Rfam family "Bacterial small subunit ribosomal RNA", at positions 505 to 1475 of the family's 1533-position model. The record is from RNAcentral.